This 250-nucleotide ribosomal RNA is filed under the name uncultured bacterium. RNAcentral's name for it is "partial 16S ribosomal RNA". It matches the Rfam family "Bacterial small subunit ribosomal RNA", at positions 524 to 773 of the family's 1533-position model. The record is from RNAcentral.
UACGGAGGGUGCAAGCGUUAUCCGGAUUUAUUGGGUUUAAAGGGUCCGUAGGCGGAUUUGUAAGUCAGUGGUGAAAUCUCGCAGCUUAACCGUGAAACUGCCAUUGAUACUGCAAGUCUUGAGUAAAUUUGAAGUGGCUGGAAUAAGUAAUGUAGCGGUGAAAUGCAUAGAUAUUACUUAGAACACCAAUUGCGAAGGCAGGUCACUAAGAUUUAACUGACGCUGAUGGACGAAAGCGUGGGUAGCGAAC